UAAUAACCAGGUUAGGGCUUGGGAGCUGAACAGUGCUGGCUGCCUGCCAGGCCUUCACAAACGCAGGUGUGUGCUCUGUGAGGCAAGUUUCCCAAAAGGCCACAAGGUCAUCUAGCCCAGGGGGUGGAAUGUGACUUCAGUCCUGGCUACAGAG
This 154-nucleotide small nucleolar RNA is filed under the name Mus caroli (Ryukyu mouse). RNAcentral describes it as "snoRNA (MGP_CAROLIEiJ_G0036138.1)". Lineage: Eukaryota; Metazoa; Chordata; Mammalia; Rodentia; Muridae. The record is from RNAcentral.